Molecule: small RNA, 125 nt
Filed under: Marmota monax (woodchuck)
Lineage: Eukaryota; Metazoa; Chordata; Mammalia; Rodentia; Sciuridae
Source: RNAcentral
GCUGGGUGCGGUGGUGCACACCUGUAAUCCCAGUGGCUCAGGAGGCUGAGGCAGAAGGGUCGCAAGUUCAAAACCAGGCUCAGCAAAAGCAAGGUGCUAAGCAACUCAGUGAGACCCUGCCUCUA